Molecule: non-coding RNA, 210 nt
Organism: Pelobates cultripes (western spadefoot toad)
Lineage: Eukaryota; Metazoa; Chordata; Amphibia; Anura; Pelobatidae
Source: the annotation of a GenBank genome assembly
UUUCCCAGCAAGGACAAUUAAUCAAAUCUUAAUAAUGUAUAUUGACUAUCCUGGGCAACUGCUCCUUCCACCUUAACGCAGGGUCAGAAUAGAGUUACACACUUAGAUACACCUUGAAACACUCACGCGCAGUCUGACGGAUUAACGCAUACACACACACACUCCACUGACACGAGAACACACACUCAUGCACACUCCACUGACACAAGC